Molecule: ribosomal RNA, 982 nt
Filed under: Halobacterium sp.
Lineage: Archaea; Methanobacteriati; Methanobacteriota; Halobacteria; Halobacteriales; Halobacteriaceae
Description: bacterial SSU rRNA
Rfam family: Archaeal small subunit ribosomal RNA
Source: RNAcentral
UGCGGGUUUAGACCCGCAGCGGAAAGCUCAGUAACACGUGGCCAAACUACCCUGUGGAUGGGAACAAUCUCGGGAAACUGAGGCUAAUUCCCAAUAACGCUCCACCCCUGGAACGGGCGGAGCUGGAAACGCUACGGCGCCACAGGAUGUGGCUGCGGUCGAUUAGGUAGACGGUGGGGUAACGGCCCACCGUGCCAAUAAUCGGUACGGGUUGUGAGAGCAAGAGCCCGGAGACGGAAUCUGAGACAAGAUUCCGGGCCCUACGGGGCGCAGCAGGCGCGAAACCUUUACACUGUACGCAAGUGCGAUAAGGGGACUCCGAGUGUGAAGGCAUAGAGCCUUCACUUUUGUACACCGUAAGGUGGUGUACGAAUAAGGGCUGGGCAAGACCGGUGCCAGCCGCCGCGGUAAUACCGGCAGCCCGAGUGAUGGCCGAUAUUAUUGGGCCUAAAGCGUCCGUAGCUGGCCGGACAAGUCCGUUGGGAAAUCUGUUCGCUUAACGAGCAGGCGUCCAGCGGAAACUGUUCGGCUUGGGACCGGAAGACCUGAGGGGUACGUCCGGGGUAGGAGUGAAAUCCUGUAAUCCUGGACGGACCACCGGUGGCGAAAGCGCCUCAGGAGGACGGAUCCGACAGUGAGGGACGAAAGCUAGGGUCUCGAACCGGAUUAGAUACCCGGGUAGUCCUAGCUGUAAACGAUGCCCGCUAGGUGUGGCGCAGGCUACGAGCCUGCGCUGUGCCGUAGGGAAGCCGAGAAGCGGGCCGCCUGGGAAGUACGUCUGCAAGGAUGAAACUUAAAGGAAUUGGCGGGGGAGCACUACAACCGGAGGAGCCUGCGGUUUAAUUGGACUCAACGCCGGACAUCUCACCAGCUCCGACAGUAGUAAUGACGGUCAGGUUGAUGACCUUACCCGAUGCUACUGAAAGGAGGUGCAUGGCCGCCGUCAGCUCGUACCGUGAGGCGUCCUGUUAAGUCAGGCAAC